This 253-nucleotide ribosomal RNA is filed under the name uncultured bacterium. Its description in RNAcentral is "partial 16S ribosomal RNA". It matches the Rfam family "Bacterial small subunit ribosomal RNA", at positions 524 to 776 of the family's 1533-position model. The record is from RNAcentral.
UACAGAGGAGCCAAGCGUUGUCCGGAUUGACUGGGCGUAAAGCGCACGCAGGCGGUUGCGCGCGUGGGGGGUGAAAUCUGGCCGCUUAACGGCCAGGCGCCAUCCCAUACGGCGCGACUGGAGUGAUGCAGAGGUCGAUGGAAUUGCCGGUGUAGUGGUGAAAUGCGUAGAGAUCGACAGGAACACCCAGGGGGAAACCAGUCGACUGGGCAUCUACUGACGCUGAGGUGCGAGAGCGUGGGGAGCAAACAGG